Molecule: ribosomal RNA, 526 nt
Filed under: uncultured bacterium
Lineage: Bacteria
Description: partial 16S ribosomal RNA
Rfam family: Bacterial small subunit ribosomal RNA
Source: RNAcentral
UGGGGAAUAUUGCACAAUGGGCGCAAGCCUGAUGCAGCCAUGCCGCGUGUGUGAAGAAGGCCUUCGGGUUGUAAAGCACUUUCAGCGAGGAGGAAGGUGGUGAAGCUUAAUACGUCAUCAAUUGACGUUACUCGCAGAAGAAGCACCGGCUAACUCCGUGCCAGCAGCCGCGGUAAUACGGAGGGUGCAAGCGUUAAUCGGAAUUACUGGGCGUAAAGCGCACGCAGGCGGUUUGUUAAGUCAGAUGUGAAAUCCCCGGGCUCAACCUGGGAACUGCAUUUGAAACUGGCAAGCUAGAGUCUCGUAGAGGGGGGUAGAAUUCCAGGUGUAGCGGUGAAAUGCGUAGAGAUCUGGAGGAAUACCGGUGGCGAAGGCGGCCCCCUGGACGAAGACUGACGCUCAGGUGCGAAAGCGUGGGGCAGCAAACAGGAUUAGAUACCCUGGUAGUCCACGCUGUAAACGAUGUCGAUUUUGGAGGUUGUGCCCUUGAGGCGUGGCUUCCGGAGCUAACGCGUUAAAUCGACCG